UGGCAGUAAAGAUUAAAGCUGACUAGAUUCUUACAGUCAUUAUUUUAGACAGGUAAGAAGUUCCAUUGUGUGUCUACCUCUCUGUAGAAAUCCUUGGAAGCUUCAAAUAAUCAGCUUUGUUUUUAAAUUUUGAUUUCCAGGAAGAAUUUAUCACCUUAGAUGCAAUAUGCUGUUCUAAUUUCAUAAUCUUUGAGUUUAAACAGUUUUUUUGAAGUCUUUGUAUUGGGCUGAUUUGUUGAUUUACCUGUUCACUACUUUUGCUCCACCUUGAAACUUCUUUCUCUUAGCCCAUAGUUUUUAAAUUAGGAAAACUAACAGCUAACAGAAACAGAAUAUGGCUCAUCUUUUUUGAAGAAACAAGACACUAAACAUCAAGUGUGUGACUGAGUGAUAUUUCAGUGACUUGUUGGUUACUCUUCAGUGACAUCCAGUAUGAUGUAAUGGAAAGAGAAUUUGCCUGGGAGCAAGGAGACCAGAGUUUAAAUGCCAAUAACAUGGUCUUGGUGAGGCCCUUUGGAGGGACAACUUAGAGGGCGUGCCCAUGUCAACAUGCUCAUGAUUCUGCUGAAUCGACUUCAACGCAGCAAGCAUUGAUUGAGUGCUUACUAUGUGUCAGAAGCUGGACCAAUUUUGGAGAUACUGAGACAAAAGUAUGGAGAUGGAAGUUCUACCAGAAAUUUUGCGAUCUGAUCAAGAAAGAUUGAAACUAAAAAUGAAAUGGUUUGAAGGAAGAGAAUUGACCACAUAAAUCCACUAAGCUGAAUAUUCCAGUAAGUAUGAUUUGAGACAAAGAAUAACAGUGUAAAGGUCUGAUAAUUCACAGGAGACAAUAUUCUAGAAAGAGCCAUUAAAUUCAUGAUUUCAGAUGACUAUUCACAAAUGCACAGACUAUGUAUAAUUAAGAAACAAAGAUAGCUAAUGAUAUUAAUGAAAGGAGGGAUAGUUGACCUUAGAGCUGUCUCUGAGACAACAGCAAGGUAUCCAUUGUUAAAAUAUGGAAACUGAUGGAGAAGGAGCAGAUUAAAUAGAGUACUCAAGUAAGAUUGCUUGUCAAAAAAGUAUAAUGACCCA
Molecule: long non-coding RNA, 1071 nt
Filed under: Monodelphis domestica (gray short-tailed opossum)
Lineage: Eukaryota; Metazoa; Chordata; Mammalia; Didelphimorphia; Didelphidae
Description: lncRNA (ENSMODG00000049371.1)
Source: RNAcentral